This is a non-coding RNA of Rattus norvegicus (Norway rat), 37139 nucleotides long. The record is from RefSeq and is a predicted model, not a curated record. NCBI's taxonomy places the organism in Eukaryota, Metazoa, Chordata, Mammalia, Rodentia, Muridae.
CUGCUAAGACUGAACCCACAGUGAACUAGUCUAUGGGGGGAGGGCGGCAAUGGGGGGAGGGUUGGGAGGGGAACACCCAUAAGGAAGGGGAGGGGGGAGGGGGAUGUUUGCCCGGAAACCGGGAAAGGGAAUAACACUCGAAAUGUAUAUAAGAAAUACUCAAGUUAAUAAUAAAAAAAAAAAAAAAAAGAAGAGCAGGCUUUCUGAGGAGAGUUUGAAAUAGAAUAUAAGAUUCUAGAGGGCUUUGAAUGCGCUUCAGAGCUCACGAGUCUUUGGUCUUUUAAAGAGUUGUCUUUUAACCAGUCUCCAGACAGCACCUGGGGUAUUGCUGUGAAAAUGAGUGGGGAAUGGGGUUCACUGUGUAGAUUCUGGCUGUCCAUCAGAAGUGGAAUACUCAUUACACGGAGGCCAUAUGCUAUUUAAAACUUUCUAGACACUAUACUAAGAAAAGGCAGUUAUAUUAAAGCAGGUAAACAAAGCCCAGAAGAUUAAUUUUAGUAAUAUAUUCAACGCAAAUAUUCACAAUACAAUAAUUUCAAUGUGUAAUUGCUUUAACAUCAUUUAAAAUGCUUUGCUCUUUUAUAAUUAAAGUGUGUGUGUGUGUGUGUGUGUGUGUGUGUGUGUGUGUGAUAUGUGUGUGUGUGUGUGUGUGUGUGUGUGUGUGUGUAUGCUUGCAUGAACACAGCAUGUCCCAAUCUGGAGAAAUACAGUUCAAAUACUUGGCAGUCAUACUCAUCUAGUGGUUAUCUUAUUAGAAAGUGCAAAGACAAUGUUGGUUGUGUAAGGACAAGUUUGUGCUCUUAGUACAUGGGAGGUGGAAGCCGAAAGAUAAUGAGUUCAAGACCAAUAUGUCUUAGCUACAUAUUGAGUUCAGACUUAGCUACAUAAGAACAUGUCCCCAAAGAAGAAAAUGGUAACAAAAAGGAGUGAAGAAAGUUUCAGAAGAGACACAAGAUCACAUUGAAAGCCCUAUACAGCUCAAUAUUUCCAAAUCCACCCUAGUGGAACCACGAGAGAUUCUCCCACUGAAAACAGACACAAGAGAAGGGAAUAAUUUGCAAAGGCAGCAGGUGCCAGCCACACCAAGUACUUCAGAUGGAUUCAGCUAUACUGUGACAUUAUUCUGACGAGAAGGGAAGGGUCAGGGCCAUGCUGUAGGAGGCAGAGGAGAUUUAAGGGCCCUGGCCACAGUCUACUGCUUGAGAGUUUCCUGUGCAAGGAGAUGUGGCGUUGAGCCCCCAUCACUACGGAUGAAGACAUGGCAUGGAUACUGGUCAGGAUGUUAAUGGAGAGGGACCAUUGGCUUGGAAGAGGGAGAGGAUGAGGGUGGGAAUUAGCUCUGGGAGAAGGGAGAUGCUGAGAUCAGACAGAGGUCACACGUUCACUAGAAGAGCUCUGCCUUCUCCCAAACUAAUGAGGACAAACAGCUUGUCUGGAGCAGGCAGAGUAGGAGUUCAGAUGGAGAGAAAAGGGAGUCCUUUGUCUAGUGCCUGCUCUGAUUUUCUCAGUGAAAUAUACAAGGUCAAGGGUGGAAGGACACAGGUGCAUGGAAUUUGAGGAGAGGGGAUAAAAUGUGAAAGAGCUUUGAAGUGUGACAACUUGCACACGUCUGCUCCGGUGGCUGUGAGGUUUGUGACCAGGCUAUACCUUCUUUUGAAAAUCAUUAAAACAAUCUGGAUUGUAAGUCCUGAAAAGGUGACAGUAUGGUUUAAUCAGGUUUCACCUUAGCACACAUGGUUGGCUCCAUACUGGGAAAGUGAGCUGAGUUAGUGGUGUGAUGGUGGCAUCGGUGGCAGCGAUGGUGGUGGUGGUGUGUGUGGUCUUGCAUAUGCAUGGCUGUAUGAUUGGUGUGCAUGUGUGCACAUGCAUGGUGGAGGCCAGAGACCCACCUUAGUUGUUUCCUUCAGGAGCCAUCUACCUUGUCUUUUUCUCUUAUUGGCCUAGAGCUUGCCAAGCAGAUGAAGCUGGCUGACUAGCAAGCCCCAGGGAUCCACUUGCCACACCUUCCCAGCACUGGGAUGGCAAGGCUCUGUCACUGCAGCCUUAGGUGUGGCUUCUGGAGAUGGAAUUCAGGUCCUUGUACUUACACAGCAAACACUGUCUUAUAGCGCUACCUUCAUAGCCUGCUAAGUGGUUUUUAAAAGAAUGAUUAGAAGAAAGAUCCACAUUCUCUCUGGGUGAGCAAGAAAGGAGGACAGGAAUGGGAUCACUGAUGGUCACCUGAGGAGGUGGGGAGUGAUGACAGUACUUAGAGAGUGAGAGGGAUGGGUAAGAACUACUGUUGACAGAAGAGCCCUUGAAGCUGAGGUUGGGGAGAUCACAAGGUCACUGGGGCAGAUAAGAGGUUGCAUAAAUGAGGAUGAAGGAAGAAAGAUCGUUGGGUGGCGAGAUUGAGAUGCUGUGCGUUGUACGCUUCUGACCCUCUCUCUCCUCUACAGGGUGGUCCCCUGGAACUCACGCUGCAUUAUCAGAAGAUGCCCCUGAAUUUCAGCUUCUCUUGGAUUUCCUUUCCAUGAAGUGGAGCUUGAGAAUGAGGUGGCUGGUGUGGUGAACGGAUUUCUGCAUGGACCAGUGAAUACUUGUGCUUCCAGGGCUGAUGACAGGCAUGAAGUGGAACAGAAACUUUUGGUGCUAAAAUCGUCAUCCAGGAAGUGGGUGCUCAGGGGCUCUUAGCUAAUCAAGGGGUUAAAGGACCUGGGAACUUUCAGGGAAGGGGGAGGAUAUGAUAUUUCAAUAAACUGGACAGCAAGGGUGGGGUGGAAGAUGAAAGAAAAUAACCCUUUGCAGUGACAAUCAUGACUCAGUGCUCCACAGACAGAGACAGUGCUGAUGCUGUUGUCCUUCACCAGAGAACGUUUACACGGGAGGUACCUACUGCAUAGGACACCUCCCAAUCUCUGUGACGCACACGCAGUGGAAGCGACACCCCAGACAAGCUGAGAGACACAGGGGCAUCUUCUGAUAAUGCAGCGUGACCACCCUGUGGAGACCACCCUGUGGAGGAGAGAGGCAGUCAGAAAUGUGGAUGCACAAACAUGCCAGGGCACCUAUACUAAUGUGUGCAUUCAUGCGUGCAUGCAAGCAUGUGUGCAUGUGCGUGUGUGUGUGUUCGAGAGUGUGUGCAUGUGUGGUGGGGAGCCCAGGGAAGCUCAAGAUUCUUGUUCUUCUGAGGUUUUGUAAAACCUGCAUCCACAGAUGGACCUAAGUUCCUAAUCUAGAACCAUAUAUCCUGUUCAACAUAACUUCCUCCAAGCCUCUGGCUUUUUGGUAGGAUUUAAGAUUACAGGACUGGAGAGAGGUAUCGUCUGCAGAAUGCUCUGUGCGGUAAGUCACGGCCUAAAAGUAUUUGCGUGCAGGUGUUGUACAGGUAGAUAAUCCAUGCAAGCAAAGUCAGGCAAAUUUGUGUGAUUUCCAGCCAUUGUUUCUCUUGUGCCUGCCACCGAAAGCUUGUAAGAGAUCAGGUUGCUUGGACUUUAAAACAGCUUAACGUAUAGGCAUGGUUGCCCUCAGUGUUGGUUUCUCUCGUCACAGGCCUCUAUUUCCAUGUGACCUCACCCUGAGCCUGUGCCCAACGCUCAGCGCGCGUGUGUGUGUGUGUGUGUGUGUGUGUGUGUGUGUGUGUGUGUGUGUGUGUGCGCGAGCACGUAUGCUCGCCAAAUUCUAAAUGCCAGCUGUGGUUGUAUGAAGGUCUUCAGGGAGAGGAUGGCUACAGUGGUCUGGGGACCUGGCCACAGUACACAUGGGGACUUGGCCACAGUACACGUGGGUUGAGCAGUAGUUACCACAUGCCCAGUGGAGGUUUGAAAGUUUCACAGCACUUGACUGUGAGCUUCGUGAUGGCAGAGAACAUGGCUUCCCUGAAUUCCACCACUCUUCUCAGCAACUGGGGUACUGGGUGCAGGAUCACAGAACUCUUGAAGUAGGGCUUUUGGAAGGCAUUACAAGGUCAAGGGCAUGACCUAUGUGCAUAUUGCAAAAAUAAACAGUUACCCGCACCUCCCAAUCCUUAACUCCCCGUGUUCCCCCUGGCCAGCCACGCCAGCCUCACAGGCAACCUGGGCCUGGCCAGCCACGCCAGCCUCACAGACAACCUGGGCUCCCACUCCUUCUUCCUUCCUCUGAAAAUCAACUUCACACCAAGUUGGCCGGUUUCCCAUUUACAUCCUGUCCAAUCAAAAGUGAGCAUUUUUAGCAAUAGCAUUCAGACAACAGCUAGUGAGUGAUAAACACAUCCUCUCCUGAGAUGACACCCUCACUCUGGGACUCUAACUAGCCACUGGGCAGUGGCUCGGCCUCUCGGAGCUGCAGCUCUGUUGUUUGAAGAAUGACGAUAAUAAAAUCACACACUUCAGCCGACUGUUGGGAAGACUGGAUGUCAUAAUGUGUACAAACUGUUUGCCCCUUGCCAGGGGCUGGGCCAAUUCACAGUGACUGGCUGUGCUGUCAUGGUUGCUAUGACACUGUGUGACAGAUGACGUUUCUGUUCAGGGCUCAUAGCUCUGAGAAAGGUGCCAACUGCUGCACACUGGGCUCCCCCAAACCCUGAGUUUGGAGCUCUUAAGCUUACAAUGGAGGAUGGUGGAGACAGAUCCUGGUCCCUCUGCCUGAGCGGGAACACACACUAGUACAAACUGCUGUACAGACUCAGAACCGCUCUCAGGAAAGUAGAUGGCUCCAGACAGCAAAAUUAUAAAAUCUACAAUGGGAUUUCUGAGAAUUGUCUUCUGGCAAAAAUUCAAAGGGACCACUUUCUAAGUCCCUCAAAGGGACCACUUUCUAAGUAAGUCCCUUGCUACCACAUAACAUUUUCCAGGUUAGGCAGCUUUUGAUAAGCACAGAAAUUCUGAUUAAAAGUAUAAAGGAAAAGCUGAGUUCAUCGCACCCUCACACCAGCUUCCUUUGCUGCUCCCCCGCUCCCACCCUCACCCCACCCUGCACUUCAUUUAGGCCAUUGCCCUCGAGCUGAGUUUUGCCUCCAUCAAAUGUGCACUCAUUCAGUUGUCAUGAAGUCAAGGCCCUCCAUGGGGGUGUUUGUGGGCUUGGGUGGAGGGAGAGGUUGUGCUUGACGCUGUUGACCACACUAAGAGUAGGAGUCAGACAUCUGUAAGUGUCGCUUAAAGCUACAGGAGUAGUCCUGGGGCCAGGCACAGUAGCACCAGCCUUUAAUCUCAGCAUGCAGGAGGCAGAGGAAAGUGGAUCUCUAUGAGUUCAAGACUAGCCUGGUCUGUACAGUGAGUAGCAGGACAACCAGAGCUACAUGAUAGACAGUGUUUCUCAAAAAAGGGGGGCAGUGGUUUUGAGCUGAUGAAGGUGUUGGGAAACCCACAAUUAAUACCCUCCUGCGAUAUGUAUUGUCCUCGACAGUUUAUUUGACCUUUGUGACCACCCUGUGGAUAGGCAACACUAUCCAAGUUUACAGAAAUACAAAGGCAGGCCUAUGGUAACAACGAGAAGGCUAUGAUGAGGCUUCAUGGUCCAGUUUCUGACUUCUGUUUCUCUUGACUUCAGCUUACUUCACUAUAGCAACAACCACAAGAAAUACCCAGUGUCUCUUACCAUAUGCCGAGUACCUUCCUAUACUCGGUGUACACACCCCAGUUAGCAUUGCUGAGGGAGGGGUUGUCAUAUCUCCUUCUACAGAUGGGGUAAUGCCUGCAGAAGACAGGGUUGGAGGAACAUUCUGGAAUCUUGGCUCCUAAACAACUUCUCUGUUCAUUUCUGUUUUUUUCUUUUCUUUUAAUAUUCAAAAGUGUUUUCAGUCUCCUUGUGUCAACCCCAGAUUCUUGUUUUAAAAGAAAGAUGCAAAGAAUAAUACCUCCAUAAUGCACGCACGUGUAACAACAUCGCAACAAUUUUCCAUUAAUUUGAUAUAACAGAGCAUGAAGGAGAGGAGUAGAAAGUGCAAGAGGUUUACUCACUUUAUAUACCAUUUACUUCUACCUUUGCAAAAACUGAUAACACACACUCACACUCACUCACACACUCACACACUUACAGACAUACAUACACAUACUCAUACACACACACAUACAUACUCACACACAUUCACACUCACACACUUACAGACAUACACACACAUACUCACACACACAUACACAUACAUAUUCAAACACUUACACACACUCACACACAUUCACACUCACACACACACACACACACACACACACUUCUAAACAGAGAACAAAUCUAGAGGUUAUACAUCAAAUGCUCUGAGACACCAGCAAUGCACAUUAGCACAGUAUCUCCAUGGGCCUUUGUUUGUACUUCUUUAAUUCAUUUAAUUCACCUCUCAUAGGUUCUUGAGCAUGUGUCUCUCUGUGUGCAUCUGUGUGUGCAUGUGUAUGAAUUUUGUUGUCAAGAUUACACAUUCUCUGAGAUUACAGAAUAUCCUGAUUUAUUUCUACGUUUAAACAUACUCAUGUUCCAUACACACACACAAGCUCUUACCUUUUCUAUACUGGACACGCAGGCGAUUGGGCAGAGAACGCCACACUGACACUUAUUACUGUGGCCUAACCAGAUGGCCCCCUUCUAUUCACUUUAGUAACUGCUGAGAUCUGGGUUAGGUAGGGUAGCAACACAUUCGGCCUUCAAGGCUGUUUCUCUGUCUCUCAGACGAGAUCGGGCGCGUUCAGGGCGGUAUGGCCGUAGACUCUCUGUCUGUCUAAAGGUGACCAGGGAGUCUAACCGGAAGCUGCUGGGUCAUCUUGGAAAUCUCUGAAGGGGCAGACACACCUUUUUCCUCAGCGCCCCUCUCCUCACUGACGAUGCAGUAUGUAAAGCGUUAAUGUGUGUCUUGUUGGAUCAUGGGUAACAUUAAAGAUUCACACCCUGAGCCAUGGUGAGAGGGAAACAGAAGCAGACUGGGAUUUCACAUCACUCCCACGGUGCCUACCUCUAGAUUUGGUCACAUGACAGAGAGAAAGGUUUUUCUUCUCAAAACCACUGAUAUUUCUGACUUCUGUGACUUGAAGUCAAGCCCACCUCCAGAGGAAUCAAUCCUUACUUUAAAUCAAUGAAAAGAAGAUGUAAAGUGGGGUUGGGGAUUUAGCUCAGUGGUAGAGCGCUUGCCUAGCAAACACAAGGCCCUGGGUUCGGUCCCCAGCUCUGAAAAAAAGAAAAAAAAAAAGAAAAAAAAAAGAAGAUGUAAAGUAAAACCAAGAAUUGUCUGAAGUGAAUUUAGAUCUCAUAUCUUUGUGUUCUUUGUCAAACGGUAAGACCAAAAGUAAGUUACGAAAAGAUGGUUUUAUUCUGCUGUGAAACAGUAAAAAUGUUGUUCUCCUGUUCAGAGGAACGUCUCCCAGGAGCUUUCUGCUUGGAAAUACCAAUUCAUUUCCAGUUCACGUAUUUCUUCUUCCUCUUGGGUCCAUUAGCUCAAUCUGUUACCUUCAUGUGGCAUCUUCUGAAACUCCAAAGGCUUGUGGUAUCACUGUAUUCACUAUAUUGAAGAUGAGAAGAGGCAGGGUGGGGGUAGGAAGAAGUGGGAGGGGUCGAGGCGAGGCUAUAGUGGAGCUGCAAAUAUCUAAUGCCCAGCUUCAGAGGAACUGAGGUGGGCACUAUGGCUCUGAUGUGCUACCAGGAACUCCAGAUCCAGCUCGUGAAUAUGCUGAGAAUUUAGCAGUCAGCUCCCAGAAGCCUUUGGACCUGUCUCCAGCAGCUGACUAGAAGUGGUUUGUCUCUGUAACUCCUUCAGGGUCUUAGCAGGUUUUGCAGGGUCCAGGAAGAGAGGGCAGUAGAAGGUCAAGGCAUUAAAUAAGUUAUUCAGGGUUGUGGGCCACUCUGCAUAGAGCCAAUGUUUGCCCGCAGACUGUCUGAUUUCACACCUGGAUUUUGACUUCUAUGUUGGGAGAAUGAGAAAGUAAAAGGAAGAAAAGUGAAGGAAGAAAGGGGCUAAGGCCAAUUGAGGAAGCAAAGGAUAGUGUCAUGCUAAGACCAAUUGAGUCUUCGUGGUCUUGACAAACUCCGGACCAGGCAGAGCUCGGCGCUCCAGACCGUGGGUUAGUUCCUGCCCUGUGACCUGUUUGUGGGUUUCCCCGUGGCUUCUCUCUUAUAUUCUCUUGUUCUUGCUUGUUUUGAGAUAAGAUCACUGUAGCCUAGGCUGGCCAGAAACUCCCUUUAGAGCCCAGGCUGGCUUCGUACUCAUAGCAACCUCCUUCCCCCAGACUCUCAAGUGCUAUGACUACUGGCAUCCAUUCCCAUGCCUGGAUUUGCUUCUGCUCUUUAAAACAGUUAUAACAUAAGAAAGAAACAAACAGUAGGUGACAAAGCAAAUGCAGCUGACAGAGGUGGACAUUUCUCUUCCCUUCAGUGUCUCUGCCUGGCUCUAGGCCUGUCGCCUUGUGAAUCUCACUAGUCCAACGAUGAGCACAGGACAGAAGAAGGAGGCAGAGAUCUGCCUUCCGUAAACUCUCGAUCUGGUUUAUCUAAUUCCAUUGUUGAAAUGACCCCAAGAAAUGGUUGCAUUUAUCUUUUCAAUUCAGCAGAGGCAAAGAUGUGGUUUGGUGGUCUAACACCUCAGCUAAGAAACCCAGGUUUCUCAGAUUCUAAGUCCUUAUGCCACACUGGCUGAUCCUCUUCUCUUGGAGGAUUCUGUGUUCCUGACAUGGUAACCAGAACCUGCUGUCCUAGAAGAAGAUGCUACCUAUGCUCAAUGUGUGGCAGGAACAUACACUGCUCUCGGGAUGUGGUUGACUACAAAUCACACAGGAGGAGAUGCUUAGACCUGCCAGGGAACUAGGUUCCAGGCUCCACAGAAGUCAGGCCUGGAUGCUGGGAGGGCGGGCUGGUCCAGAAAUGAAGGAUGCUUUCAGGAAAAGAUGGUGGGCGUGUCUCAGGGAAGCCUUAAGGAGUGGGUGCUCUGGAAAUUGAAGGUGAGCUCUGUGCAAAGGUGUGGGGUUCAUGGUCAAGAGGCAAGAGAGCAUUCCCCUGGGCAGUGAGGUGGGUGUUACAUUAUCAAGGGCUGAAUUCUGGCCCAGUAUCCUGGCACGUCCACCUCAGUUUCUGGGUAGAGAACCUUUGAGCAGACAAAGGGAGGACAGAGCACAGCAUAACUAGUUUGGGGGCUUACGCUUACACAUGCGAAUGCUCCUGGAACUUAAGAAAGGCUUAGGUGUUUAUGACACCAGGGUAUUGAAUGCAGUCAGUGCAAUCUGGCCUUAAUGGAACAGGUUAGGCAGCAGCUCUGUGUCAGCUAUUUCUCUUCUUUCAUAUUGGAUAUUUUUUAUUUACAUUUCAAAUGUUAUUCCAUUUCCCAGUUUCCCAUCCAUAAACCCCCUCCCCAUGCUUCUAUGAAGAUGUUCCCCCACCCAUCCCUUCCCCUCUCCCCGCCCUGACAUUCCCCUACACGGGGGCACUGAACCUUGGCAGGACCAAGGGCUUUUCCUCCCAUUGAUGCCCAACAAGGUCAUCCUCUGCUAUAUACGCAGCUGGAGCCAUGGGUCCCUCCAUGUGUACUUGUACUCUUCAGAUGGUGGUUUAGUCCUGGGAGCUCUGGUUUGUUGGUAUUGUUGUUCUUAUGGGAUUGCAAACCCCUUCAGCUCCUUAAAUCCUUUUUCUAACUAUUCCAUUUGGGACCCCUUUCUCAGUCCAAUGGUUGGCUGUGGGCAUUCACCUCUAUAUUUGUCAGGGUCUGUCAGGGCCUCUCAGGAGACAGCUAUAUCAGGCUCCUGUCAGCACACAACCCUUGGCAUCCCCAAUCGUCUCUGGGAUUGGUGACUGAUGUGGGAUGGAUCCCCAUGUGUGGCAGUCUCUGGAUGGCCUUUCUUUCAGUCUCUGCUCCACACUUUGUCUCCAUAUUUCCUCCUGUGGGUAUUUCUGUUCCCCCUUCUAAGAAGGACUGAAAAAAUCCACACUUUGGUCUUCCUUCUUCUGGAGCUUCAUGUAGUCUGUGGAUUGUAACUUGGGUAAUUUGGUCUUUUGGUCUACUAUUCACUUAUCAGUGAGUGUAUACCAUGUGUGUGUGUGUGUGUGUGUGUGUGUGUGUGUGUGUGUGUGUGUGUGUGACUGGGUUACCUCACUCAGGAUGGUAUUUUCUAGUUCUAUCCAUUUGCCUAUGAAUUUCAUGAAGUCAUUGUUUUUGAUAGAUGAGUAGUACUCCAUUGUGUAGAUGUACCACAGUUUCUUUAUCCAUUCCUCUAUAGAGGGACAACUGGGUUCUUUUCAGUUUCUGGCUAAAUAAGGCUGCUAUGAACAUAGUGGAGCAUGUGUUUUUGCUGUAUGUUGGAGCAUGAUUUGGCUAUAUGCCCAGGAGAAUUAUAGCUGGGUCCUAAGGUAGUUCAAUGUCCAAUUUUCUGAGGAACCUCCAGGCUGAUUUCCAGAGUGGUUUUACCAGCUUGCAGUCCCACCAACAAUGGAGGAGUGUUCCUCUUUCUCCACAUCUUCACCAGCAUCUGUUGUCAACGAGUUUUUGAUCUUAGCCAUUCUGACGGGUGUGAGGUAGAAUCUCAGGGUUGUUUUGAUUUGCAUUUCUCUGAUGACUAAGGAUGUUGAGCAUUUCUUUAGGUGCUUCUUAGCCAUUCCAUGCUCCUCACUUGAGAAUUCUUCGUUUAUCUCUGUACCCCAUUUUUAAUAGGGUUACUUGAUUCUCUGGGGGUGUAACUUCCCGAGUUCUUCGUAUAUUUGGAUAUUAGCCCUCUAUCAGAUGAAGGAUUGAUAAAGAUCUUUUCCCAAUCUGUUGGUUGCUGUUUUGCCCUAAUGACAGCGUCCUUUGCAUUAUAGAAACUUUACAAUUUUAUGAGAUCCCAUUUGUCAAUUCUUAAUUUUAGAUCGUAAGCCAUUGGUAUUCUGUUCAGGAAAUUUUCUCCAGUGUCCAUGUGUCUGAGGCUCUUCCCCACUUUUUCUUAGUUUGAAUGCAUCUGGUUUUAUGUGGAGAUCCUUGAUCCACUUGGACUUGAGCUUUGUACAGGGUGAUAAGAAUGAAUUGAUUUGCAUUCUCCAACAUGCUGACUGUCAGUUGAACCAGCACCAUUUAUUGAAAAUGCUAUCUUUUUCCCACUGAAUAAUUUUAGUUCCUUUGUCAAAGAUCAAGUGACCAUAGUUUUGUGGGUUCAUUUCUGGGUCUUCAAUUCUAUUCCAUUGAUCUACCUCCCUCUAUACCAAUACCAUACAGUUUCUUUUAAAGUCAUUAUUGCUCUGUAAUACAGCUUGAGGUUAGGGAUGGUGAUUUCCCCUAGAAGUUCUUUUAUUGUUGAGAAUAGUUUUCACUAUCCUGGGUUUUUUGUUGUUUCAAAUGAAUUUGCAAAUUGCUCUUUCUAACUUUAUGAAGAAUUAAGUUGUAAUUAUGAUGGAGACUGCAUUAAAUCUGUAGAUUGCUUUUGACAAUCUGGCCAUUUUUACUAUAUUAGUCCUGCCAGUCUAUGAGCAUGGGAGGUCUUUUCAUCUUCUGAGAUCUUCGAUAUCUUCUUCGAGUCUUGAAGUCCUUGUCAUACAGAUUUUUCAUUUGCUUGGUCAGAGUCACACCAAGGUAUUUUAUGUUAUUUGUGACUAUUGUGAAGGGUGUCGUUUCCCUAAUUUCUUUCUCAGCCUGUUUAUCCUUUGAGUAGAGGAAGGCUUCUGAUCUGUGUGAGUUAAUUUUAUAUCCAGCCACUUUGCUGAAGUUGUUUAUCAGCUGUAGGCAUUCUCUGGUGGAACUUUUGGAGUCACUUAAGUAUACAAUCAUUUCAUCUGCAAAUAGUGAUAUUUUGACUUCUUCCUUUCCAAUUUGUAUCCACUUGAUCUCCUUUUGCUGUCUAAUUGCUCUGGCUAGGAUGUCCAGCACUUUGUUGAAUAGUGGGCAGCCUUAUCUAGUCCCUGAUUUUAGUGGGAUUGCUUCAAGUUUCUCUCCAUUUAGAUUGAUGUUGGCUACUGGUUUGCUGUAUAUGGCUUUUACGUAUGUUUAAAUAUUGACCUUGAAUUUCUGAUCUUUCUAAAACUUUUAACAUGAAGGGGUGUUGAAUUAUGUCAAAUGCUUUCUUAGCACCUAAUGAGAUGAUCAUGUGGGUUUUUUCCAGCUUGUUUAUAUAGUGGAUUAUGGUGAUGGAUUUACGUAUAUUGAAUUAUCCCUACAUCCUUGGGAUGAAGCCUGCUUGAUCAUGAUGGAUGAUCAUUUUGAUGUGCUCUUGGAUUCAGUUUCUGAGAAUCUUACUGAGUAUUUUUGUGUUGACUAAAGGGAAAUUGGUCUGAAAUUCUCCUUCAAAGAGUCUUUGUGUAGUUUAGGUAUAAGUGUAAUUGUGACUUCAUAGAAGGAAUUUGGUAGUAGUUGGUCUGUUUCUAUUUUGGAGAGUAUUGGUAUUAGGUCUUCUAUGAAGGUCUGAAAAAUUCUGCACAAAACCCAUCUGGUCCUGGGCUUUAUUUGGUUGGGAGACAUUUAAUAACUGCUUCUAUUUCUUUAGGAGUUAUGGGACAGUUUAGGUGGUUUAUCUGAUCCUGAUUUAACUUUAACUUUGGUACCUGGUAUAUAUGUCUAGAAAAUCGUCCAUUUCAUCAAGACUUUCCAGUUUUGGUGAAUAUAGGCUUUUGUUGUAGGAUCGGAUGAUUUUUAUUUUAAUUUCCUCAGAUUCUGUUGUUAUGUCUCUCUUUUCAUUUCUGAUUUAGUUAAUUUGGAUACUGUCUCUGUGCCCUCUGAUUAGUCUGACUAAGGGUUUAUUUAUUUUGUUGAUUUUCUCAAAGAACCAACUCCUAGUUUUGUUGAUUCUUUAUAUAGGUCUUUUUGUUUCUACUUGGUUGACUGAGUUUGACUAUUUCUUGCCAUCUACUCCUCUUGGGUGUAUUUGCUUCUUUUUGAUCUACAGCUUUUAGGUGUGCUGUCAAGCUGCUAGUGUAUGUUCUUUCCUGUUUCUUUCUGCAGGCACUCAGCGCUAUGAGUUUUCCUCUUAGCACAGCUUUCAUUGUGUCCCAUAAGUUUGGGUAUGUUGUACCUUCAUUUUCAUUAAAUUCUAAAAAGUCUUUAAUUUCUUUCUUUAUUUCUUCCUUGACCAAGUUAUCAUUGAGUAGAGCAUUGUUCAGUCUCCAUGUACAUAUGGGCUUUAUGUCAUUUUUGUUGUUAUUUAAGACCAGUCUUAGUCCAUGGUGAUCUGAUAGCAUACAUGGGAUUAUUUCAAUCUUCUUGUAUCUGUUGAGGCCUUUUUGUGACUGAUUUUAUGGUAUUAGAAGGUACCAUGAGGUACUGAGGUGAAGAUAUAUUCUUUUGUUUUAGGAUGAAUUGUGCUAUAGAUAUCUGUUAAUUCCAUUUGGUUCAUAACUUCUGUCAGUUUCUCUGUGUCUCUGUUUAGUUUCUGUUUCCAUGAUCUGUCCAUUGAUGAGAGUGGGGUGUUGAAAUCUCCUACUGUUAUUAUGUGAGAUGCAAUGUGUGUUUUGAGCUUUAGUAAGGUUUCUUUUAUGUAUGUAGGUGCCCUUGCAUUUGGAGCAUAGAUAUUUAAGAUUGAGAGUUCAUCUUCGUGGAUUUUUCCUUUAAUGAAUAUGAAGUAUCCUUAUUUUUUUUAUAAUUUUUGGUUGAAAGUCGAUUUUAUUCAAUAUUAGAUUGGCUACUCCAGCUUGUUUCUUGGAGCCAUUUACUUGGAAAAAAAUUUUCCAGUCUUUUACUCUGAGGUAGUGUCUGUCUUUGUCACUGAGGUGUGUUUCCUGUAUGCAGCAAAGUGCUGUUUAUGCAUCCAGUGUGUUAGUCUAUGUCUUUUCAUUGGAGGAAUUGAGUCCAUUGGUGUUGAGAGAUAUCAGGGACCAAUGAUUGUUGUUUCCUAUUAUUUUUGUUGUUAGUGGUUGAAUUAUGUUUAUGUGGCUAUCUUCUUUUGGGUUAAUUGAAAAAAGAUUACUUUCUUGCUUUUCCUGGAGUAUAGUUUCCUUCCUUGGGUUGGAGUUUUCCACCUAUUAUCCUUUGUAGAGUUGGAUUUGUGGAAAGGUGUUAUGUGAAUUUAGUUUAUGGAAUAUGUUGAUUUCUCCAUCUAUGUUAAUUGAAAGUUUUGCUGGAUAUAGUAGCCUGGGCUGGCAUUUGUGUUCUCUUAGAAGACUCUGCCCAGGAUCUUCUGGCUUUCAUAGUCUCUGGUGAGAAGUCUGGCAUAACUCUAAUAGUCUAAAGGUCUGCCUUUAUGUGUUACUUGACCUUUUUCCCUUACUGCUUUUAAUAGUCUUUCUUUGUUUUGUGCAUUUGGUCUUUUGACUAUUAUGUCACAGAAGGAAUUUCCCUUCUGGUCCAAUCUAUUUCGAGUUCUAUAGGCUUCUUGUAUGUUUAUGGACAUCUCUUUCUUUAGGUUAGGGAAGUUUUCUUUUAUAAUUUUUUUGAAGAUAUUUACUGAUCCUUUAAGUUGGGAAUCUUCACUCUCUUCUAUACCUAUUAUCCUUAGGUUUGAUCUUCUCAUUGUGUCCUGGAUUUUCUGGCUGUUUUGGGUUAGAAGCUUUUUGUGUUGCAUUUUCUUUGAUGGUUGUGUCAAUGUUUUCUAUGGUAUCUUCUGUCCCUGAGAUUCUCUCUUCCAUCUCUUGUAUUCUGUUGGUGAUGCUUACGUCUGUGACUCUUGUUUUCUUUUCUAAGUUUUCUAUUUCCAGGAUUGUUCCCUUUGUACUUUCUCUAUUGUUUCUAUUUCCAUUUUUAGAUCCUGGAUGGUUUUGCUCAAUUCCUUCACCUGUUUGGUUGAUUUUUAUGUUCCCUCUUUAAGGACAUCUACCUUUUUAUCUGUGUUGUCCUGUAUUUCUUUAAGGGAGUUAUUUAUGUCUUUCUUAAAGUCUUCUAACAUCAUCAUGAGUCAUGAUUUUAAAUCAAAAUCGUGGUUUUCCAGUAUGCUGGGGUAUCCAGGGUUUACUGUGGUGGUGACACUGGGUUCCCAUGAUUCCAAGUGGCCUUGGUUUCUGUUGCUUAUGUUCUUGCCCUUGCCUCUCGCCAUCUGGCUGUCUCUGGUGUUAGCUGGUCUUGCUGUCUCUGUCAGUGGCUUGACCCUCCUGUGUGUCAGCACCACUGGGAGACCAGCUCUCUCCCAGGGGAAUCUGGGUACAGAGAGCUAUGGCACAGGGUCAGCUCCGGGUGCAGGCAGAAGCCAGAAGGUCAGCUAUUUUUCUGUGAAAAUUAAUAAAGUCAUGUCAUUAAUAUUAAGCUCCAGUUGAUAUUAAGAGCAGGAAAUUGAUCACUGAACUGCAUGUCACCAACUUCCUUUCUCACCUCUCCUUUCUGCUCUGUACUCUGGUGUCAUUGUCAGAGCUCUACAAGUGCCAGGCCCAGUGUGGUCUGGACUUCUCUGGAGAGGAAAGAUGGAGGAACUGGGACAUGUCCCUCCAUGUCCUUCCAUGUCCCUCCACUCACAGCACUAGCUCUUUCUGCUGGCUGUGUUCUCACAGUUCAGGGAGGGAGCGCAUGAGCAACCUUCCUGGUGUAUCUUAAGGGCAUUAAUCCUCUCAUGAGGACCUCAGCUAACUUUAAGAUAUUCCAGAGGUUCCACUUCAAUAUUAAUUCUGAAAGAACAUACACAUGUUCUUCAAAGUGUGUCCACAAUUUUCUUUAAAGAUUAAGAAACUGGGGACAGGGAGUGGGGUGGGGUAGAGGGUGACACCCUGGGGCCUGCCUGCCAAGAGGCUUGCCCUCAGCUACAAUUUGUAAGUAUGCGGUGGGGAGAUGGGAGAGGAAGAGAAGCAGAGUGGUUUGGUGGCUAUGAAGAGAGGCAGAUGGCGGAGAGAAGCAGCCUGCCCUGCCACCUGAGGCCAGGGUAAAAUUCUGAUUCAUGCUGCCUCUGAGCACCAUGUCAGCCACUGCAGCCUUGCAGCUUCAGGAUCUGUCUUCGACUUAUAUUACCAGCCAAAGCCAUGCAGAUGUCCCUGGUUUGGGCUGCUGCCUGGGGUCAUGCUCAUGUUUAAAGGCUGUGCAGAGCUGGCCCCAGCCCUCAGUGGUUGUGGCAUGCAGGAGAGCUGGCCUUGCACUGUGUAUGGAUAGCAUAGUAGAGCUGGCCUUGGGGACAGGAGUGAGGUUGAGUGGUUGGGUGCAGGGUGAACUGGCUUUGCCAUUCCUCUGCUAUGCAGUGCCAGGGGGUGAAGGAGAGGUACCCUUCCCCCAUUCACCCCUCACCACCUGCAGCAGGUGGGAGAGCUGGCCCAACCCCUUUCCAGCAGGAGCAGUCUGGAGAGGACCCUGGACCUUGCAGGAGCCACACAAUAGAUCUGACUCUGGUGGCAAAGGCUCAGGUGAGCUAGUCCUGCCCCUUGCUGGCUGCCCUUGUGGCAGUGCUGGAGAGCUUGCCCUGGUGACGUGGGGUGGGACAGCCGGCUGGCUGAUUAACUCUGCUACUGCACAGGGUUGGCCCAACCCAACAUCUACCCCAUGUAUGAACUGCUGGAGUGUGUGAAGGGGCAGAUCCUGCAGAACCGAAGCUGCAGGAUCUUCAUGACCAGGGCCACAACAGGAUCUCCAAGAGUUCUGGUGAGGACCCAGCAUUGACAGUACAGAAGAAGCCAGAGGCCUCAAAUCACACCAGUGACUCGUUGCCAUGGGCAUUUUCAAGUAAAGAUGUGCGGACAAAAGGGUACAUCGUGUGAACACUGACACACUACAGCUUCCAUGAUGAGAUUUUUUUUUUCUUUUCUUUGGGAGGGAGGUUGCCAAGGGUGGAGGGUGGAGGCAAAGUGACAGGGAGAUGAGUGGGUUCGAGACGCAUGAUGUGAAGUUCACAAAGAAUCAAUAAAACAUUGAAAAGAGAGAAGAAAACUGAGGCUUUGAGAGUUAUCUGCUUCAAGACCCCGGAUAGUAGACUAGAAGAUCAUGAUUCAGAUCCCAGCCUAGCUGCCUCAAGUGGCAAACCAUUAACUCUUGUACCAGAUAGUUCCCAGAGUGCCUGCAUAGAACCUGGUCAUCACACAUGUAGCUGAUUAUGUCAUUGAACUAGCACAGUUUACCAAAUUCCUAUGACUUAUACUAGCUUGUAGGAAAUAGUGUAUACUCUGUAAGUCACAAAAUGUCAGAUGGGGCGCUUUGAAAUACAGAGCUAGCAUGUGUACCUCUUCUUACCGUUCCUACCCAUUAACUCAUUAACUCAUUCCCUCAUUCUGUUUAAAAUGGAUUGCCAAGUGCAAAAGCAGAUCUAGUCAGGGACUGAAGGUCAGAGAGAACACAGGGGACAGGGACACUCAAACCCAGACCCGCUGGCCCUGCCCUGAUGUUCCUGCUCCCCCCACCACAUCACCACACCAGGUAGAACCUGCAGCACUGUCCUUCAGAACUUAGUCCCAGCGAGGGCAGUGCUGGGGGACGGUGCUCCUUCAAUUAUGUCAGGCUCCUCUAAUGUCAUCAGAUUCAUUUACCGGUUCCUCAGAUAAGAGAUCUGAAGGCUUUCCAGUAGCUGUGGCCCCUUUGAAGUGCCUACUUCAAGGGCAGCUCUUUGCCAGUCGGGGCUUUCCAAGUGAAUGAGUGCUUGGGUCAACAGGGAUUGCAGAGCAGACAUCCAAAGCCCUGCCUGGUGGCAGCUGGCUCCAGAGAUAUUUGGAUGACCUCAUCUGUGUAAAAAUAGGCCUUGUAAAGAGCUUGAGCGCAUCUUGUUCUCCUAAGAAAGGUUAAAAAACAUCCUUCCUUUUGUUUGCUCCCUAAUUGCCUUAGCAAUCUCUGCUUAGACUUGAAGGUCCAGAGUAGGCUUGAAAGUCUUGCUAGAGACAAUGGACAAACUGAGGGUUGUGAUUUCAAUGUCUUCUCUAAUUUUACACAACUCACUGGGGUGUUGAGUACUUGAUUAACAACUGACUUUUCUCUGUGUGGUCUGCAUUGGGCAUUUGGUGGGGAGAGGUGGAUUUAUUGGAGAGGGAACCCUGUCCUAGAAGCUUCCUUAAGAAGUACAGCAUCUAGACAUUGAGACACGACCACUAACAGCUGUGAUCAACAUCUCAGUGAUGACUGGAAUGAGGCCAAUGCUGGGCAAAGGUGAGAAGUCCAGGUUGCCCCUGGAAAUGGGCAUUCUGGAAGAUGAGAUUCUGAGAAGCAUUCCAGCACCAGGAGCAAAAGCUCUAGAAUGAAGUCCUCUUGAUGACUCUCUCUAGCCUUUGGUGUUCAUUACCAGCCUUGCAGGUUUCCUGAAUGGACGCCAGGAGGGCUCUGUAAAAACCAACUUAGAGCUUCCUGGGACUGGAGCUGAACACUAGGGCCCAUCUUAGUGUGGCCUAUGCACCUUUAGUGAGGCCAUAGCCAGUGGUUAGUGGGGCAGAGUCCAGCCCUCUUGCUCUGGAAGAAAAGGUAUCCAAGGAACCCUCUGUCCAUGGGGAUAAAGAUGCAGGUCUGAGGGGCCUGCUGGGCCAGCCUUCUGACCUCCUUUGAACAAGGUGGAGUGGGUGCUCCAAGGCACCUUGAGGAAUAGCGACCGUUGUGGGACAUAAAGCAGACUGAGGCUUAAGGUAAGCUUCUCUCACAAUUGGAGAAGCAUUGGAGCCAGGAAGUAAGAGUAUACACACCCAGGCAGCGCCUGAAUAUAGGAGAUGUGCUGAGCCUUGCAGGGUUGGUGUUAGACACACACACACACACACACACACACACACACACACACAAAACACACACCACACACUCACACACCCACACACCCACACUGAACACCCCCACCCCAGCACAGAGAGAGAGAGAGACCCAGACAUGCAGACAGACAGACAGAUACACACAGACACAUACACAGAGACAGACACACAGACAAAGAGACAGACACACAGACAAAGCACACAGAAACAGGCACACAUACACUGAACCCCACCCCCAGCAGAGACAGACACACAGAAAAAAAGGCAGACGACAAACAGAUACACACAGACAUGCAGACAGACAGACAGACACACACACACAUGCGCGCGCACGCGCACAUACACACACAUACACACACAUGCACAUACACACACAUACACACACAUGCACAUACACACACAUACACACACAUGCACAUACACACACAUACACACACAUGCACAUACACACACAUACACACGCACACACACACACACACACACACACACACACACACACACACCACACUUCUUCCUUGUUCCUACCAGCAGGGGCCCUCUCCUCUUGGUUGACUUUGGUUCCUUUUCCUUUUUGAUCUUAAAUUCUUCAUCUCCUCACAGUGACCAGCUUCCUCAAAAACACAGAACUAACAAAUACAGACAGAUGUGUGUGGGUCUCUGUCACCAAAUGACUUGGUUUUCGGUUUGGUUUAUGCAAUUUUCUCAGAAAGGUAUUUUGUCAGGAUAUGGUCCUCAUCUGAAUGUCCCUGUCUUAGAGGUUGGGUGGGCAGACUUUAAAGCAGAUCAUGGUCUCUACAUUCUGUGUUGCUUACCCCUGAAUCAUUCUCACCAUUAUACAGAGUUCUCUGCAAUUGUUUAAAGCCAUCCCCUGUGCAGAGGUGAGCACAGAGGUGAUGUGGAUCUUUGUGAGUCUGUGAUUCCAGGAGACUGUAGCACUCGGCUUGUUCAGAGCCUCCUCUCUAGGAUGCUUACUAUGAAGAAGUAAGCCAUCACCGUGAGACAUAUCUCUGCAAGAAAAUAGGACCUGUCACCUGCCGGGGAGAGCUUGGAAGCAAAGCUUUCCCUAAUGCAGGCCUCCGAUACAAAGGAGUUCCCUUGAGGCUCUGAUGCCAGUGCAGAGCGGAGGGCCUGGCUCAGCUGUGUGUACACUCCUGGCUCUCAAAGCUGUGAGACCACAAGCAUGUCCUGUUUUCGGAUGCUAAGUUUCUGAGGAUUUGUUACACAGCUUUGGGUAGCUAGGAGUGGGAGGCACUGUCACAGAGCUUCCGGGAAGGAGCCAGGAAAGGGUAGAUGAUGAGGAGAAAUGGCUGAUCACUUUACACUUUCUUCCUUGCAGCCCUUCCGAUCAUUCUCAAAGGCUCACUGGUGGAACACACACGUCCCCGAACCCCAGCCUUUAAGAGGGCUUUGUUAUUGGUAUCUGCUUCUUGUGUGUUCACAGGAGAGCAUUUUGUAUUAGAGAACCCCCACCAUGGGUUUCUACCACAAUGGGUUUAUAUUCCUGUUAGCGGCUUCCACAUGCAAAUGAUUAGAUGUUGCCGGGGUGUCAGCUAACUCUCUCCAGAGUAGCAUUUACAAUGCAUGCGCACAAACACACCAGCUCCUGCAGACUAUUCACAUGCAGCUCUGCUUGUCUAUUAAGAACACAGAAAAUAAGUCACCAUGUAACACAAAGAAAAGUACAUGGUUAUCUCAACCUUCAUUGCGGGACCCCGAGAUAAUUUGGGGCAAGGGGAUCAGAGAAGGUUGCUCAGAGGAAAUGGGGUACAAGCUGGACAUUGAAGACUAAAAAGAGGGUAUCUGCCAGAAGAUGGGUGUGAGCAUGAGAAACUGGGCGAGGGAGUAAGGCUCUGUCAAAACAAACAGCCUGGCAAAGACAGGGAGAGAAAGAGGUUGGUGUCUCUGAAGAGUGGAAUAGAGCGCAUCGUCUAGGAAACAAGGCAGAUGAGACAGGACUGAGGCCGACAAUGGUUGGGCCAUAUACUCCUUGAGGAACCUACCUGAGACCCCAUGUUUAUUCUGAAGAUGUUUCAGUGUGGAUGAAGGAAGAUUUUCUGUCUCUGUUAGAAGAUUAAAAACUGGGAGGGUUAAGGAGGCCACUGAACACUGAGAGCACAGAUCCUUGGCGGAGCACGGGGAGAACACAGAAGGGGUGAGCCAAGUUCAUAGCCAUGGGAAUUAGGACAGAAGAAGGACUUCUCAAUGAGGUGGCAAAGAACUCUUUUUGAACUGAGAGGCAUGGAGAGUUCUAAAGCCCCGGUUCUUAGACCAGCUUAAGAAUGAGAAGCCACAGUUCCCCUUCCAUGUACACACACACACACACACACACACACACACACACACACACAAACCAACAUACAACACACAUACCAACAUACAACACACACACCAACAUACAACACACAACAAUACAUACAUGCAUGCAUGCAUAUAUAUGCAUACAUACAACACACAUAAUACAAUAGACACACACCACAUACAACAGACACAAUAUACAACACACACAACAUAUAUACUCAUACAACACACACCAUAUACAACACACAUAUCACAUAGAACACACACACACACACAUACACACACACACAAACACACGUGCAUGUAUGCGUGGACAUCCCCUCCCAGAGUAAAUGCUUUAGGAGCUUACAUUUUAUGAAGAUGAGAACCUACCACUUACUAGUUCACACAUCCAAGGGUGGGCAGAGGGGAUGGACAGUCUUGAAGGCCAGAGCUCUGGGUGUCCUGGGUCCCUUGCUAACCAAUCUGGCCCUCAGCACCUCUCUGGUACUUGCUUUGGUGUGGUUUUAAUGUGUCCCUCAAGUGUGGCAAUUUAAGAUAGAACAUACUAUUGUAGGAGGUUAAUCCUCAGAAAAGAUUGAUACAGUUUUUGAAAUGCCUCAGAGAGUUCUCUUGAGGGGAUUACCACAAAAGAACAAGGUUGACCCCCUCCCCAUUCUGUGUGUAAUCCUUGUACACCAUUAUAUAAUCAGUCUUGUGUGAUGAAGUCAGAGGGACCCUUGUUAGAGUGUGUACAAUGCAGCUUACAAAUCUAUGAACUAAACUUACCUCUUUACUUAUAAAGUGCCCAGCUUCUGGUAUUUUGUCAUAGUAAUAGGAACACACAAUUAAUUGGUCAGGGAAAUGGAGGAUCAAUGGCUCCAACAGGAAGGGUUCUCCACACUGUCAUCAGCCAUCAUUGCUGCUGUUAGACUCAGCAGUGAGCCUCUGUGACCAGUACAACGGUCCUAAUUGAAGAUACCGUGAAGUCAAAUGGCCCAAAGGCUUGUAGCUACUGUUGCUGCCUUUAUCUGCCAGUUUCCCCCGAUCACACUGCUGUUGUCCUCAUGAACUCUUCCUACUCACUGCAGUGGUUUUAAUUAGACUCGUUUCCUGUUUUCUCCCCACAGAGACCAACCCGAGAAAGAUGUCUGAUUGCACUAAUGCCUUGAGAAAGGGGUGGGGAGAGAGAGAAAAGAAGACUCUCAAAGCUAAUGCCUGGCACGGAGAAGCUUGGGUCAGAGUAGACAGGUCACUCCAGGGAAGACUGCAGGAGAGGAGACAAGACAGCCUGGUAGGCAGACCCUGUCCUAGCUACGACUCAUACAUCUGCAUUCAGCAGGGCAGCCAGGGUUAGCUUGCACUUGAUCUGGAGAGACCACCCACCCCUUGCUGAAGUCUGGGGUUUAUCUCUAGUCUUGCGUCAGCCUAGUGGUGUAUCUGAUUCUCUGCUUCCUGUAUGGUUUUGGCUGGGGAGAACCUCUAUGAGUAUUAGAAGUGCCAACCUAAUGAUGUUACGUUAGGAAGGCCGUGGGCUGUUGAAGGUGUUAAGAGUAGAAUCUGAUGUGAAGGCUAAGGUUACCUCAGAGUUGAGGUCACUGACCCAGCAGAUAUUUUAGGUGUUCCAGAGUAAGUGGGUUGGUGAACUGACUUUUAAUAUUCAGUUUUGGGGAAGUGCGAUAUGACAGAAGCAGAGAAAAUUCUGUCAGAGCUACUAAAGGGCCACGUAGUCUAGUCGGGCUGUGUCUGCGUCAGCCAAAGGCGUACGUCCACGUUAUAUAAGUCAUCUGUUUCUUCUCCAGGAGAGUGGAGCUAAGAGCCCAUACCAUGUCUGUGCAAUGGGAAAUACACAGGGUAGUCUAUUCUGGCCAAAUGGCAUCAGAAGUUUAGAUCCAGAAAAGACCAAAUCAGCCAUGUGGGCACCUGUGUGGUGAAGUAGGUAGGCAGCUGUAGUAUAAACCUGAGUUUUCCCAGAAGGCUCAUGGGUGUUUUCCAUAAGCUCCCUGCUGGCGUUGCUGUCUUAGAGAAUACAGCACAGCACCUUCAGGAGGUGUGGCCUAGCUGGCUAAGGUAAGCUAUAGCCCAGCUCUGGGUUUUGGUAACCUUUGCUUCCUCGUUUACCACCAUGUGAAUGGAUUCUGCCAUGUGUGCCUUCUUACGGAGUCCCCGUUAUGUCUCCCUCACCAUGAGCCAAAAUAAGCCCCUCCCUCUUAAGUUGUCUCUGUCAGACCCCCUAAGUCACAAGGACAUACACAGGUCAACUCCCUGAGCGUCAGCACAAGAAGCCUAGCUUGUUUAGUCUAGAAUACCCAGUCCUGUUAUUUACUAGAUGUUCAAUGGUGGCCCUUGCUUUGAAUUCCAAGUUUCCUCAUGUAAGAACCGAAAACUCAAAUAGUGUCUGACUCACCAGCUUGUCUUGAAAGGUGAGUUAGCAUAUCGUGGCAGAAGCUCCUCAGACACACUGCAAACCUCUAUUCUACAUCUGGUCACCAGCAGGCACUUUCCAAUCCCCAGGAAUCCAGAUAAGAUUCUGUGACUCUUUGAUCUAGGGAAAGUGGGUUCAACUGGGUUUUUUUCCAUAUAGUCCCCCUUGAACAUCUAAAUUUCCUUCCUCCUCUGCUAGGUGGAUGCACAGGACUCAGGAGUGAAGCAGAGUGGUCAGGGACGGCACAGCCAGGAGGAAUGAGCCUUGGUCCAUGUGGAACAUACCAUUCCUUUCUCUCCUGACAAUCUGUGUUGGAUUACAGUUUGGGCUAUUGGAAUUCUAGCAUUGUAUGUUAAAGCAGUCUCCUCUGACGAGUUUGCUCUUGGGAAUCACCUGGUAAUCCCUCAGUAAAUUUUAGUCAUUUCCAUGAUGGUGAUUAUUAUGUACUCCUUAGAAAUGCUAAGUGUUGAACUGAACAUUUUGCUCUCUAACUAGAACAUCUCCCCUGAAUCUCCGAAUCCUUUGGAAAUAGAAAUGAAUCAUUUCUUCAUGCCUUUACUCCCCAUAUAAACAUUCGAUGGGCACCCGCUGUUUAUACAGUCCUGUUAGCUGAAGACAGAGAGAUAAUAAUAUCUCUAUGGGACCUCGGGCUUCACAGAGAGGCUGGCCUACCACUAUCGGCAGGUGUUAGCUGUAGAACGAAAGUGUGCCUAAACUCUCUCUCCCUCUCACUGUCUCUUUCUCCUUCUUUCCCUCCCGGUCUCUCACUUUCUUGCUCUCUAUUUCUCUGCCAUCAAAGGCUGUAGCUUCUGACAGAAUCCUUAAGAGGCCAUUCAAACUGUUUCCAAGUUGUACUCAGGGUAGCUCUGUGGGAAAGUUUGCUGGGUUCUGAGACAAACUCACCUUGACUUUCUCUGGUCAAGGAAAGACAGGAGGGUUCAUAGGAGCUCACUGCCAUGAAAAGCAAAUGUGUUAACAGGCUGUUGUCCUGUGGCCUCUGGGAACCUUCCAUCCCCUUCUUCCUCACUGCUUCUCUCCAUGACUGUGCCCUUCCUUGUCUAUUCCUUCCGGAAUAUGUCGUUACAUCCUGUUGUCCAAUGGCAGGGAUGCAGAACCUCAGUUGUGCUGAGGUAGAGCUGGUUCCCUUCUACCUUGCACCUCCCUGCCUGGAACUCAGCUCUUCUCUUUGUAGGGAGUUCCAAGCUCUGGACAGGCAGCAACCCCCUCCAUCCUCAUAGACAGCACUGACAGACCUGGAGCCUCACUGUGGUCAUCUCGAACCCAUGUACACCUUCAUAAACUUUUCCAGCACGGGCUUCCAGGCAGCUGGACUUGGGCCAGGAAGGAAAUGAUCUCCAGGUAUCUUUGGUAACAGCCAUCAUCUUCCACCCCCACACAUUUAUUUUUAAAUCACUCUGUGAUGUGCACUUUGAUAAGCAACGUGUGGGCGGGAUGAUGGCUGUUACUCAUGUGCCUCAUCUUUCAGGAAGAGCUCUGUAAAUAUUUGAGGCCUGAAGAAGACCCUCUGGCUGCUGAGUUCCUCUCCCCAUCCCUCCGAGAGAAGCUCUCUCCUUUUGAGUCUCUCACUCUGCAUGUGUGACCUGGAACUAGGCACCCAUGUGAGUUCACCUUCUCCGUCUCUCCACUCUGGAAUAAACAACUCCAGAUAUGGCUGUGGAGUCCUCCACAGAGGGCAGCUGCCAGGCAAGAGACCUGUCCUGGAAGACCUUCUGGGAAAACCAAGAGAAGAGCUUUGGACUUGUUUGUGGAUAACCGGUUAUCUCACAGGAUUCCGAAUCCCAACCAUGAAUCUUUCCUUUUGAACCUAUCAUUAGGUCUGAUUUUGUGCCAGCCCAACUCUGAAGCAAGCCUGUGUUAGCAAGCCUGUUCAUUCAUUGUUAUUUUUAGGGCAGUUCUGUUUCUCAUUGACUGGGGCCCACUGGGCCCCUCCCAUGCUUUGUCACACUCGGGACAGUCAGCUUGGCAGCACACCAAAAGCCAUGCUUACCCAGAGGUGCCCUCGCCUGCCUCUUCUGACAGGCAGGUACCGGCCUGAGCUAAAGCUGCCUUUGUUUUGUCACCGUGGGUUACUUUUCCUUGGGCUUGGAUGGCUCAGCAGAAGUUGCUCUGCAGGGUACAAGCCCCAAGCAGCACAGUUUAUAUUGGAGCUGGUGUACACUGUUCUAGUACUCGGGGGCCGGGGUGGUGGGGGGAGAAGGGUCACACACAGCUGUCUGAUUCGUAAGCUAGGAGCCCUUCCCCAGUAACAGUAGUGCUGACAGGAGCAGGUGAGCAGAGGGAGCCAAUAAAGGCCGAACAGACACCUGCUUGUCUUGGAAAGCCACCCUCAGGCAUCAUGGGAAAAAAUGAGAGACACCAAAGGAAAACAAAAGAAAGUGGCAUGUAAAUCAGGUCAAACACAGCUACCACCCACUUCUUCCCCUCCCUCCUCACUCUCUGAGCCUGGUAACCUCCGUCCUGCUCUUACCUUCUGUGACACCAACUGUCUCCGAUGCCACAGAGAGUGUGGGACUUGUGCUUUCACGCUUGGCUUAAUUCGCUCAACCUAGUGAGCUCCACUUGCAGCCACGCUAUCACACAUUCUUUUUGUGGCUGCAUAGUAUUCUGCUGCAUGCAUGGACCAUGUUUUUCCUAUCCAUCUAUCAGGUAAUGAACACUGUUCCAACUGUUCUUGGGCACUGUACCUGGUACCUCAGGAGCACAGGAGCUGAUUUAAUGUCCUUUACAUGUUUGUUCAUAUUGACAUUAUUAAUGUCAAUAUUUAAUAAUUAAUUUAAUAAUUAACUUAAUAGUUAAUGAAAAUACAAGAUAUUCCAUUAAUGUGUUCAAUGUUAUAUCUUUUGGACUAAAGUUAGAAAUCUAAUUUAAACUUGCAGAAAAUAGUAAUAAGGUUGGAGAGCACUGAAUACCCUUCCCAGGGACCUGGGUUUGAUUCCCAGCACCCACAUGGUGACUCAUAACUGUGUAUAACUCCAGUUCCAAAGGAUUUAACACACACACUCACACACACACUCACACACACACAGACACACACAGACAUACACACACAGACACACACACACUCACACACUCACACACACACACUCACACACACUCUCGUGUAUACACACACACACACACACACACACACACACACACAGUGCUGCUUUGGUGGCUGCUGUGGACCUGUUUUACCCUCAGGGUCUCCUCUUUCAUCUCAGUCCUUCUUAAAGUGUCUGCAGAGCUGUCUACAACUCCUGACUUUCCUUCCUCAGAGCUCCCAGGGACUUCCCUCCAAGACUGUGUCUUCCUGUCCUCCAUCCUCAAGGCGGCUGAUUUCCUGGGGAUCAUCAAACACACGUGUGCCAAGAACCUCACACAGACUGUGAGGUCCUUCGAUCUCUCUGGGACAGCCAGAAUUUUGCAGACUGAGAAACAUGUAGAGGAAGCUGGGUCUCUGAAGCUAGUGGAGUUCUGGUCUCCUCUUGCUCUGCGAGAACACGCUCUACCAAGCCUCCUCUUUCAGAAAUUUCAGGAACAAGGGCUACCAAUCUUCAUGUUCAUUUACAUCUCAAAACUUCAGAGUAGACAUGGAAGAGCCUUUCAAGAACUUCCUCCUCAUGCUCUUCUUCAAUAUGGAUUUGCAGAUUCUGUGUGGCAAAAAGAAUCUCUAAGACACUCCACUGUCCAUGAGAGAUGCUAGAAUGUCCUUGGCUUGGGCAGGAUUGUGGAGCACCCUUCUACCAUUCCUGGGGAUUUACCACUAAUGGCACAGGAAGUUACAGACUUCAACUCUAAUCCGACCCUUCGCCUCCUUCUCUUCCUUCUCCCAAGUCUCUUUGUAUAGAGAGUAGGGAGGAAAUGAGACAUGGACCUAGAUCAGUUCUGCUGCCUCUUAGGACGUUGGGCAUCAGAGCAGGGGCCAGAGAUGUCUACCGUGAAUAGAGGUGUGCUCUUUGUGUUCAAUUUUACUUAGCUGUAAUUUACAUUUUUAUACUUAUUUAUGUCUGUACAUGUUGUAUAUAUACGUUGUGUGUAUUGUGUGUGUUGUAUGUAUGUUAUGCGUGUGUUGUAUGUGCUAUGUGUGCAUGUGUGUUGUGUGUAUACAUGUAUGUGUUUUAUGUGUGUUAUGUGUGCAUGUAUGUGUGUUGUCCGUGUGUGUAUUAUAUGUGUAUGGUGUGUGUGUUGUGUGUGCAUGCAUGUGUUGUGUGUGUUGUGUGUACAUGUAUGUUCUGUGUGCAUACAUGUGUGGUCUGUGUGUGUUGUAUGUGUGUGUAUUAUAUUGUGUAUGUGUUGUGUGUGCUAUGUGUGCAUGCAUGUGUUGUAUGUGUUGAAUGUGUAUACAUGUAUAUUGUGUGUGCACGUGUGUGUGUGUGUGUGUGUGUGUGUACAUAGUCCAUGGCACACAUGUGGAAGUCAGAGGAAAACUUGAAGGGGUCAGUGCUCUCCUUCCACUACAUGGGGCUGAAGAUGAAACUCAAAUUGGCAGCAAGUCCCUUUGCCUGCUGAGCCACCUUGCUGGCCCUAAUGUGUUCUUUUUAUUUUUUAGAUUCUCCUGGAACACUCAAAACACUGUAACAUUUUUGAACAAACUUCCGAUAUUAGUGCAGAAAUGUUUAUUUUCUACAAGAUAAAAAUGGGGGCCACGUUCCAUUGUUUUUCUAAGGAAGCAGAGAAAGAUAUGAACAUAGAAAGGCAGUAGCCUGAGACUCUGUUGGAGAAGGGUUGGGCAUGAAGGUGGUGAAAUCUCAUGGUGGAGAUUAUGUACAUCCUGACGCCCAUGUGAAGCCCUUCACAUGAAAACAACCAUAUUUAGUUAAGGUUCCUGUCUUUAUGAGAUAGAACUGUGUGGUAAGGCAGAGGUUUCUGCUGUGUGUCCAUGUGUCUGUGUGUCCUUGUGUCAGGAAACACAUAGAGCAGUGGGAGUGAGUGGAGAGGAAGGUGGGAAGACAAAUGGAUGGGGUGCGUUAGAGAUAUGGAAACUGGCAAAAAUGCCUCACCCCAAACUAUAGCAUCGGCCUCUCGGCUGCCUAAUUGUUUAACCAUUGGUGCAUUUGUCCUUCAUGUUCAAAUUAAUUUUCUAAAAGCACUUAGAAGAGCAGGAGUCAGAAGUUUGAAUUCAUGUCUCCGUCCUCUCAUGCAAAACUGUCAACUCUGUCCAACUCACGUGCCUUCCUGGCUUCUCCUAAGCCGACUUCAUAAAUGUGCACAGCAGUGGGGAUCUGGAUGGUGGGAUUGUUCCCUCUGAGGAAGAGACGCUUUGUGUAUGGCUGCUUUUUCGAUAGCUGGAACACGAUCUUUCUCUUGGUCUACUUUUUUUUUCACUUUGGAGGAAUGCCCAAUAGAUAUGAUUGUUUGUCAUUUAAAUAAAGAGCAAAUGUGUCUGCAGACGUAGAGGUGAUAAUCUAGAAAGAUCUUGUUGUCCCUGAGGGACAUUUGCUUUAUCCUUUGUCACAGCCGAGGAAAAGAAAUUUAAUAGAGGUAUGUUGAAAGGAAUACAUUGCUUUUUUUGUAAUAUUAUGAGCAGGAGCCAAAUGACUUCUCUUAAUUCUCUGUUCCUUAACAAGCAUAGAAAGAAAAAACUCAGAGUAUUUAAAUGAGAUAUUUAUAUACACCAAAAGAAUAUUUAUACCAUGUGAAUAAAGCACUAAAAAAAGACAAAACUGGGGCUAAAGAGAUGCUUCCGCAGCUAAAAGUGUUUGAUGCUCUCGCAGAGGACCUGAGCUUGGUUCCAAGCACCCACCUACAUCAGUUGGUCCUCAGCUACCUGUGACUCCAGUUUCAAGGGGUCUGAUUCUGUCUUUUGACCUCCAUACGUACCUACCUACAUACCUACACACACACACACACACACACACACACACACACACACACACACACACACACAAAUACAUCUUAAAAAAAAGAAAAAAGCCAAAGUGAACAUCUUUGUAUUUGGUACCCCAAAAGGACAGAAGGACAGAGCUGAUCCUCAUUGGGCUCUCUGAAGGCAUAGGAAGUCCUCAGGCUACCCCUCUCCCUCCCUCUGCUGUGACUACACUUUUCUCUUUAAGGGCUUUGGGAAAAGCUGUGUUCAAUAAACAUCACCUGAGACCUAAGUGGGCUCACCUCGUGCUGAGUGUGAUGUUUCCACCAGCAGCCUGUUAGUUUCAGUUUGCACGGAUGAGGUUUGCCCACGUGGGUUCACAUGAUCUGCCCCAGGCAGACCAAAGGUACAGUGUUGCAUGAACACACAGGCGUGUGCUAACGAUUCUCACAGGAAAAACUGGGCCAUUCUCCACGUGCGCCUCUACAUUCUGUGUGAGUUUCGAACAUCACUGUCCAUGCCUUCUGAUGUACAAGGGGCAGCGGUUUCUCUAAGUUUCGAUCCAUGUGACAAAAUAGCUUGUCUUUAAAGUAGAGCACAUUCACUUCACUAGAGAAUGCCAGAUGGCGUUUCAGGUUCUGAUGGUCCGUCUGUCUUCCAGCGGUGGACAGACAAUGCCAGUGUCUCUUAAUUCACCAGCUAUGAACUGCCAGGCUUCUGGGAAUGUCCAGAGUGGCGCCUGAGUGACAUCUUUUUAAUGAAAGCGAUCAGGUAUCCGUGUGUACUUACAUCCAUUUCUGUCCUGUGUGUAUGCACCCAGGUCUCAUCGGGUUACCUGUUUCAUUCUGCUGUAAGUUCAGAUAUGAAUGCCUUCGAUGAACAGAAAUCCCUCCAGGUAUCUGUAGAGAGACUAUCUUGUGUAUUACAUGGGUGUAUCAGCUGUUAAUUAAAAAGCCCUGUGGCCUAGAGGAAAGGGUUGAAUAGGAAAUGGAACACCCAGGAGGCAAAAAGAAUUCUGGGAUAGAGCCAGGCACGGGAGAUUCACCUAGGAAACUGUGCUGAGACAUACGCAAUAUGGUACCCAAGCACAGGUUACCAGCCGCACAACAGAAUAAAAUAAGUGGGUUGUUUUAAGUUAUGAUCUAUUUGGAGAAGAGCCUAACUGUAUGACUGAGGUAUUUGCAAAUAUAUUUUGAGUCCGAGUCUAAUUUCUGGGACUGGAGCUGGGAGGAAGAACGAGACCAAACUUGUACAAACUUGUAUCUCAGUGAAGAUGUAUAUUCCAGUUUGUAGACUCACUUUUCACUUUAAAACAGUAUGUAUUUCUUUCCUGUGUGUGUAUAUGUGUGUGCAGUUACUUACAGAAGCCAGAAGAGGAGCUAGUCCCCUGGAGCAAGAGUUAACAGUUGUUCUUGACAUGGUGGAAACUGAAUUUUAGUUCUCUUUAAGGGCAUCUUGGUAAGAGCAACUGAACUCCUGCCAUCUCUCCAGCCCUUCACGUUCUGUUGCCCUAUUCCAAACAGAGAAGAUAUUCUCCCUUUUAAGGAAUGUAAUUCUUGAGUUGAUUAUAACUGAACUUAUCAGUCUUUCAUUAUGAUUCCUAUGCAGUAUUAGAAGUUCUAUGCGGGUCUCUGCUCCCAAACCCCUUGGGACAGAGACCUCACCGCCUGGUCAGGUGGGCACUCCUGAGGCUGCAGAGCGGAAGAGACCACCAACACUGCCCACCCCUGCUCACAUCCCUGGCCCAAGAGGAAACUGUAUAAGGCCUCUGGGUCCCCGUAGAGGAGGGCCCAGGAGCAGCAGAUCCACUGCGUCUGAGACACCGCCAGAACUUGAAGGGACUGACUGGAUAAACAGUUCUCUGCACCCAAAUCCCGUGGGAGGGAGAGCUAAACCUUCAGAGAGGCAGACACACCUGGGAAACCAGAAGAGACUGCACUCUGCACACAUCUCUGACGCCAGAGGAAAACAGCAAACACCAUCUGGAACCCUGGUGCACAGAAGCUCCUGGAAAGGGCGGCGCAGAUCUUCCUGGUUGCUGCCGCUGCAGAGAGCUCGUAGGCAGCACCCCACGAGGAAACUUGAGCCUCGGGACCAGAGGUAAGACCAACUUUUCUGCUGCAAGUGACCUGCCUGGUGAACUCAAGACACAAGCCCACAGGAACAGCUGAAGACCUGUAGAUAGGAAAAACUACACGCCCGAAAGCAGAACACUCUGUCCCCAUAACUGGCUGAAAGAAAACAGGAAAACAGGUCUACAGCACUCCUGACACACAGGCUUAUAGGACAGUCUAGCCACUGUCAGAAAUAGCAGAACAAAGUAACACUAGAGAUAAUAUGAUGGCGAGAGGCAAGCACAGGAACCCAAGCAACAGAAACCAAGACUACAUGGCAUCAUCGGAGCCCAAUUCUCCCACCAAAUCAAACACGGAAUAUUCAAACACACCAGCAAAGCAAGAUCUAGUUUCAAAAGCAUAUUUGAUCAUGAUGCUGGAGGACUUCAAGAAAGACGUGAAGAACUCCCUUAGAGAACAAGUAGAAGCCUACAGAGAGGAAUCGCAAAAAUCCCUGAAAGAAUUCCAGGAAAACAUAAAUAAACAAGUAGAAGCCCAUAGAGAGGAGUCAAAAAAUCCCUGAAAGAAUUCCAGGAAAACAUAAAUAAACAAGUAGAAGCCCAUAGAGAGGAGUCACAAAAAUCCCUGAAAGAAUUCCAGGAAAACACAAUCAAACAGUUGAAGGAAUUAAAAAUGGAAAUAGAAGCAAUCAAGAAAGAACACAUGGAAACAGCCCUGGAUAUAGAAAACCAAAAGAAGAGACAAGGAGCUGUAGAUAUGAGCUUCACCAACAGAAUACAAGAGAUGGAAGAGAGAAUCUCAGGAGCAGAAGAUUCCAUAGAAAUCAUUGACUCAACUGUCAAAGAUAAUGUAAAGCAGAAAAAGCUACUGGUCCAAAACAUACAGGAAAUCCAGGACUCAAUGAGAAGAUCAAACCUAAGGAUAGUAGGUAUAGAAGAGAGUGAAGACUCCCAGCUCAAAGGACCAGUAAAUAUCUUCAACAAAAUCAUAGAAGAAAACAUGCCUAACCUAAAAAAAGAGAUACCCUUAGGCAUACAAGAAGCCUACAGAACUCCAAAUAGAUUGGACCAGAAAAGAAACACCUCCCGUCACAUAAUAGUCAAAACACCAAACACACAAAAUAAAGAAAGAAUAUUAAAAGCAGUAAGGGAAAAAGGUCAAGUAACAUAUAAAGGCAGACCUAUCAGAAUCACACCAGAUUUUUCGCCAGAAACUAUGAAAGCCAGAAGAUCCUGGACAGAUGUCAUACAGACCCUAAGAGAACACAAAUGCCAGCCCAGGUUACUGUAUCCUGCAAAACUCUCAAUUAACAUAGAUGGAGAAACCAAGAUAUUCCAUGAAAAAACCAAAUUUACACAAUAUCUUUCUACAAAUCCAGCACUACAAAGGAUAAUAAAUGGUAAAGCCCAACAUAAGGAGGCAAGCUAUACCCUAGAAGAAGCAAGAAACUAAUCGUCUUGGGAAGAAAACAAAGAGAAGAAAAGCACACAAACAUAACCUCAUAUCCAAAUAUGAAUAUAACAGGAAGCAAUAAUUACUAUUCCUUAAUAUCUCUCAACAUCAAUGGCCUCAACUCCCCAAUAAAAAGACAUAGAUUAACAAACUGGAUAUGCAACGAGGACCCUACAUUCUGCUGCCUACAGGAAACAGACCUCAGAGACAAAGACAGACACUACCUCAGAGUGAAAGGCUGGAAAACAACUUUCCAAGCAAAUGGUCAGAAGAAGCAAGCUGGAGUAGCCAUUCUAAUAUCAAAUAAAAUCAAUUUUCAACUAAAAUUCAUCAAAAAAGAUAAGGAAGGACACUUCAUAUUCAUCAAAGGAAAAAUCCACCAAGAUGAACUCUCAAUCCUAAAUAUCUAUGCCCCAAAUACAAGGGCACCUACAUACAUAAAAGAAACCUUACUAAAGCUCAAAACACACAUUGCACCUCACACAAUAAUAGUAGGAGAUUUCAACACCCCACUCUCAUCAAUGGACAGAUCAUGGAAACAGAAAUUAAACAGAGACGUAGACAGACUAAGAGAAAAGUCAUGAGCCAAAUGGACUUAACAGAUAUUUAUAGAACAUUCUAUCCUAAAGCAAAAGGAUAUACCUUCUUCUCAGCUCCUCAUGGUACUUUCUCCAAAUAUAAUUGGUCAAAAAACGGGCCUCAACAGGUACAGAAAGAUAGAAAUAAUCCCAUGCGUGCUAUCAGACCACCACGGCCUAAAACUGGUCUUCAAUAAUAAUAAGGGAAGAAUGCCCACAUAUACGUGGAAAUUGAACAAUGCUCUACUCAAUGAUAACCUGGUCAAGGAAGAAAUAAAGAAAGAAAUUAAAAACUUUUUAGAAUUUAAUGAAAAUGAAGGUACAACAUACCCAAACUUAUGGGACACAAUGAAAGCUGUGCUAAGAGGAAAACUCAUAGCGCUGAGUGCGUGCAGAAAGAAACAGGAAAGAGCAUAUGUCAGCAGCUUGACAGCACACCUAAAAGCUCUAGAACAAAAAGAAGCAAAUACACCCAGGAGGAGUAGAAGGCAGGAAAUAAUCAAACUCAGAGCUGAAAUCAACCAAGUAGAAACAAAAAGGACCACAGAAAGAAUCAACAGAACCAAAAGUUGGUUCUUUGAGAAAAUCAACAAGAUAGAUAAACCCUUAGCCAGACUAACGAGAGGACACAGAGAGUGUGUCCAAAUUAACAAAAUCAGAAAUGAAAAGGGAGACAUAACUACAGAUUCAGAGGAAAUUCAAAAAAAUCAUCAGAUCUUACUAUAAAAUCCUAUAUUCAACAAAACUUGAAAACCUGCAGGAAAUGGACAAUUUCCUAGACAGAUACCAGGUGCCGAAGUUAAAUCAGGAACAGAUAAACCAGUUAAACAACCCCAUAACUCCUAAGGAAAUAGAAGCAGUCAUUAAAGGUCUCCCAACCAAAUAGAGCCCAGGUCCAGACGGGUUUAGUGCAGAAUUCUAUCAGACCUUCAUAGAAGACCUCAUACCAAUAUUAUCCAAACUAUUCCACAAAAUUGAAACAGAUGGAGCACUACCGAAUUCCUUCUAUGAAGCCACAAUUACUCUUAUACCUAAACCACACAAAGACCCAACAAAGAAAGAGAACUUCAGACCAAUUUCCCUUAUGAAUAUCGACGCAAAAAUACUCAAUAAAAUUCUGGCAAACCGAAUUCAAGUGCACAUCAAAACAAUCAUCCACCAUGAUCAAGUAGGCUUUAUCCCAGGCAUGCAGGGAUGGUUUAAUAUACGGAAAACCAUCAACGUGAUCCAUUAUAUAAACAAACUGAAAGAACAAAACCACAUGAUCAUUUCAUUAGAUGCUGAGAAAGCAUUUGACAAAAUUCAACACCCCUUCAUGAUAAAAGUCCUGGAAAGAAUAGGAAUUCAAGGCCCAUACCUAAACAUGGUAAAAGCCAUAUAGAGCAAACCAGUUGCUAACAUUAAAUUAAAUGGAGAGAAACUUGAAGCAAUCCCACUAAAAUCAGGGACUAGACAAGGCUGCCCACUCUCUCCCUACUUAUUCAAUAUAGUUCUUGAAGUUCUAGCCAGAGCAAUCAGACAGCAAAAGGAGGUCAAGGGGAUACAGAUCGGAAAAGAAGAGGUCAAAAUAUCACUAUUUGCAAAUGAUAUGAUAGUUUAUUUAAGUGAUCCCAAAAGUUCCACCAGAGAACUACUAAAGCUGAUAAACAACUUCAGCAAAGUGGCUGGGUAUAAAAUUAACUCAAAUAAAUCAGUAGCCUUCCUCUACACAAAAGAGAAACAAAUCGAGAAAGAAAUUAGGGAAACGACACCCUUCAUAAUAGACCCAAAUAAUAUAAAAUACCUCGGUGUGACUUUAACCAAGCAAGUAAAAGAUUUGUACAAUAAGAACUUCAAGACUCUGAUGAAAGAAAUUGAAGAAGACCUCAGAAGAUGGAAAGAUCUCCCAUGCUCAUGGAUUGGCAGGAUUAAUAUAGUAAAAAUGGCCAUUUUACCAACAGCGAUCUACAGAUUCAAUGCAAUCCACAUCAAAAUACCAAUCCAAUUCUUCAAAGAGCUAGACAGAACAAUUUUCAAAUUCAUCUGGAAUAACAAAAGACACAGGAUAGCUAAAACUAUCCUCAACAAUAAAAGGACUUCAGGGGGAAUCACUAUCCCUGAACUCAAGCAGUAUUACAGAGCAAUAGUGAUAAAAAGUGCAUGGUAUUGGUAGAGAGACAGAUAGAUAGACCAAUGAAACAGAAUUGAAGACCCAGAAAUGAACCCACACACCUGUGGGCACUUGAUUUUUGACAAAGGAGCCAAAACCAUCCAAUGGAAAAAAGACAGCAUUUUCAGCAAAUGGUGCUGGUUCAACUGGAGGUCAACAUGUAGAAGAAUGCAGAUCGAUCCAUGCUCAUCACCGUGUACAAAGCUUAAGUCCAAGUGGAUCAAGGACCUCCACAUCAAACCAGAUACACUCAAACUAAUAGAAGAAAAACUAGGGAAGCAUCUGGAACACAUGGGCAGUGGAAAAAAUUUCCUGAACAAAACACCAAUGGCUUAUGCUCUAAGAUCAAGAAUCGACAAAUGGGAUCUCAUAAAACUGCAAAGCUUCUGUAAGGCAAAGGACACUGUGGUUAGGACAAAACGGCAACCAACAGAUUGGGAAAAGAUCUUUACCAAUCCUACAACAGAUAGAGGCCUUAUAUCCAAAAUAUACAAAGAACUCAAGAAGUUAGACCGCAGGGAGACAAAUAACCCUAUUAAAAAAUGGGGUUCAUAGCUAAACAAAGAAUUCACAGCUGAGGAAUGCCGAAUGGCUGAGAAACACCUAAAGAAAUGUUCAACAUCUUUAGUCAUAAGGGAAAUGCAAAUCAAAACAACCCUGAGAUUUCACCUCACACCAGUGAGAAUGGCUAAGAUCAAAAACUCAGAUGACAGCAGAUGCUGGUGAGGAUGCGGAGAAAGAGGAACACUCCUCCAUUUUUGGUGGGAUUGCAGACUGGUACAACCAUUCUGGAAAUCAGUGUGGAGGUUCCUCAGAAAAUUGGACAUUGAACUGCCUGAGGAUCCGUCUAUACCUCUCUUGGGCAUAUACCCACAAGAUGCCCCAACAUAUAAAAAAGACACGUGGGCUGGAGAGAUGGCUCAGCCGUUAAAGGCUAGGCUCACAACCAAAAAAGACACGUGCUCCACUAUGUUCAUCGCAGCCUUAUUUAUAAUAGCCAGAAGCUGGAAAGAACCCAGAUGCCCUUCAACAGAGGAAUGGAUACAGAAAAUGUAGUACAUCUACACAAUGGAAUAUUACUCAGCUAUCAAAAACAAUGACUUUAUGAAAUUCGUAGGCAAAUGGUUGGAACUGGAAAAUAUCAUCCUGAGUGAGGUAACCCAAUCACAGAAAAACACACAUGGUAUGCACUCAUUGAUAAGUGGCUAUUAGCCCAAAUGCUUGAAUUACCCUAGAUGCCUAGAACAAAUGAAACUCAAGACAGAUGAUCAAAAUGUGAAUGGUUCACUCCUUCUUUAAAAGGGGAACAAGAAUACCCUUGGCAGGGAAUAGAGAGGCAAAGAUUAAAACAGACACAGAAGGAACACCCAUUCAGAGCCUGCCCCACAUGUGGCCCAUACAUAUACAGCCAUCCAAUUAGACAAGAUGGAUGAAGCAAAGAAGUGCAGGCCGACAGGAGCCGGAUGUAGAUCGCUCCUGAGAGACACAGCCAGAAUACAGCAAACACAGAGGCGAAUGCCAGCAGCAAACCACUGAACUGAGAAUAGGACCCCCGUUGAAGGAAUCAGAGAAAGAACUGGAAGAGCUUGAAGGGGCUCGAGACCCCAUAUGUACAACAAUGCCAAGCAACCAGAGCUUCCAGGGACUAAGCCACUACCUAAAGACUAUACAUGGACUGACCGUGGACUCUGACCUCAUAGGUAGCAAUGAAUAUCCUAGUAAGAUCACCAGUGGAAGGGGAAGCCCUGGGUCCUGCUAAGACUGAACCCCCAGUGAACUAGAUUUUUCGGGGGAGGGCGGCAAUGGGGGGAGGGGAACACCCAUAAAGAAGGGGAGGGGGUGGGAUUAGGGGGAUAUUUGCCUGGAAACCGGGAAAGGGAAUAACACUCGAAAUGUAUAUAAGAAAUACUCAAGUUAAUAAAAAAAAAAAGUUCUAUGCAAA